CGAUCGGCGAUCGAUCCAGAUUCGAAAGUAUGGCCGUGCCUCGCCGAAACAUGACUCCCGGUCGGCGAGAUGGCGGUCUAAUCGAGGAACGCUGCAAGCGCCACGUUCGGUUAAGGCCGGCGAACGGCAGCGCAAAGUUCUCGAGGGCCUCUCGCGUGUAAACUGGUUAUUCCCUGAUUUAUAUCGGGGAAUAAGAUCGGACCGCGUACGGACGUGAGGAUAGCUCCCUGUUGCAGGAAAGAACCGCCGAAGAGAGAAACCGUGCUCGCCACCGGCGGCCAUAUUUAAAUGCGUGCGCAGAAUCGAAAAUGCACUCUCGACUUUCAUGUAGAGCGAAGAUCUACGAAGACGGACGGGUGCCAACUGCACCGAUAAGCAGCGAUGGCGUUCUGACGAUCGAAUUACGGCCUGACCUUGAAAAGAUCAGAUCCAUUACGAGAUUGACGAGCGCAUAUAUCGACUUAACGGCCGAGGUAAUCGAUUAUUGAGGGAACCGGAGAAAGCACCGAUCCGGUAAUUCGAUCUGCGGUGCCAAUAUAAAUGGAAUCGAUUUACGCCCAAGUGACUGAAGAGAUGGGCUUCGACGUAGAGGAGACCAGCGCGGGUUAAUCGGCGAGUUGACCAGGCGGAGAUAUUCCGGCAGAAGGCGAGGUUAAUGCAGAGCUGCAAAUGGCGUUGAGAGCAAUGAAACCGAAACCGAGGAGAAAAUCGGAAUCCCGGCGAGGGAGUGAUGAUAGUUCCCGGCAAUGAAGUGCAAGACGCCUGGAAGUGGUAUCGGUCUUUAAGACAAGUCAAAACUACAAGCUGGAAGUAACCAGGAAACGUAAGAUGAUAUUGAUCAGGGAAGAGCGAAGAAAACGAGGCUCGAGGAAAUUUGCGAUAUCGGUUGAUAAGAGGCGUUGCUGGGGGGGCCGCUUUUCAGAAGAACGUUCUAACGAAUCUAACAAACUUGCCGAUCGCGAUCUCCACGAGGAGGGCGGUAACGUUAACGAGGGCGAUAAUGCCUCGACUAUAAAGUCGAGGUUUAAGGUGAUGUGAAACACGUCGAGGAACUUGAUCGACGUCGGUAAAAAAGAUUUUUCUAAAUACUUACGUUGCCGACGUAGGUUAUUAU
Molecule: long non-coding RNA, 1114 nt
Organism: Orussus abietinus
Lineage: Eukaryota; Metazoa; Arthropoda; Insecta; Hymenoptera; Orussidae
Exons: 5
Source: RefSeq, a predicted model, not a curated record